This is an RNA transcript of Esox lucius (northern pike), 4247 nucleotides long. It is a transcript of the gene named transmembrane protein 82-like, with no coding region annotated. Lineage: Eukaryota; Metazoa; Chordata; Actinopteri; Esociformes; Esocidae. The transcript is spliced from 6 exons. The record is from RefSeq and is a predicted model, not a curated record.
CUCAUGGAAACUUUUUGUUGCCUUUAAAGACCGUUAAGGUCAAAAGUCCAACUGCAUAAAACCUAGAUCAACAAGUAUCUCUCAGAAAAACAAAUGCCAUGCCUUUGUUGUGUCUAAAGACGAAAGUAAUGAAAAAUACAUUGAAAUAAGGUAACUGUAGUUGGCCUACCCUAUGUUGUUCAAUUGAGCCCUUAGCAUUAAUAUGACAUGAUAAACAGUCUUUCUACUUCAAAAUGUGAAUAAUAUCCUUUUCCCACUAGAGGGACCUCCGUGGAUGGAUGACUAAUACUUCACAGACCUUUCUAAGCAUGUUAUAAAUAGCCUAAAGUAACAUCAGAAUCUUGUUGUGGAAACAUUUUGUAAAACAACAAAAAAAUAAGUCCAUGUUUCAAUUAUGUAGUUUACAACAUAAAUUAAGAGCGCUGGACCAUCUUAGCCCUUGGUCAGCAAUGGAUGGUCUGACAUUUCUAAUACUCUUUCCUGUAUUUAUCCUAACGUCUCUAUCAAUAGCCUGUAUAUGUAGAAAUUCAUUUAAAAAAACUGAGGCGAGUCCGAUGUAAUUUUGGUCUGUUUUCUGCAGCACACCUCAAAUACUGUGGAUAAAAUAUUAUUUAAAAAAAUAUUAUAAAAAUAGAGCCUUUUUGCGGGAUGAGCUAGAACAGAAAGUGAAAAUAAGCUCACUUGUAAAAAAUGUACAGACGAAACUAGGCCAAUCUCAUUGUUGAUAAUGGAUUUCCUAAAAGCUCAAAUGUAAUCAAGUGUAGGCUACUCAGUUGAUGCAAUUUCGAACAACCGUCGACAAAGUGGUUUUGGACAUUGCAUUAACGUUAAUCCUAUCGAGUAACUCUUUUGAUCAUGAAAUGAAUAAACCCCAAGACGGGAGUCACACAGACCCCUAUCAUACGACCUUUGAAACUUCAACGUGGAGGAGAAAACACAGAAAUUAUCAACCCUUUAAAAAUGAAAAUUAUUGGUUCCUUUUGUGGGGGAAAGGACAUUGUUUGAAUACAUCCUACUUGGCGACAUUACCAAUACGAUAUUUCCAGCCUCGGAUGUUAAACAUGUGAAGAUCGUGUCAGAAAAUAAUUAAUAAUGUUUCUCUCAAACUGGCUGCGGCGAAUCCCAGUCUGGCUGCCAUUUAACUCCAACUCUUUAGAUAGUGUAUUUCAAGGUCUAGUUGGUGCAUGUGGAAUCUCUGUGCUAUAUAAUCUCCUGAGAGUUCACCUACACUGUCAGUCGUCCAGAAGUGGUUCUGAAUUUGAUGCGGACACUACAGAGGGGGAAAGGUCCAGUUCUUCACCUACAGCUGGCCGAAGCCGGCUAGGGGGACAUGGGUUGAGUGUUGCUCUUCAGUUCUGGUUCCUGACUGGAAUCCUGUCUCUGGUAGGCCCACGGGUCUCCUCGCUGCUGGUCCUGGAGUUCUCCCUAAGGGCUGUCAUUGCCUGGAUCAAUGUAGGACCGGAUGUCCUCCAGGGGAAUAACCAGCUCAUGGUUCAGUGCCAGUUUUCCCUGGGCUGUGCUCUGAGCUGCAGUCUCCACUACCUCCAGGAGGGGGCUCCACACCGCUCUCUGAGCCUCCUCCUGGCAGCCGGGCUCAGCUGGCUGCUGGCGGCUCACUGCACCCGUCUCUGGGGCCAUGUCUCUAGGCUCUACCUCCUGCACAGCUCCCAGCGCUACUGCGGGGUCUGCAACAUGCUUUUGAGCUCCGGCCACUCCCUGCUCCCCUCACUGCAGAGGGCCGUGGUCGUGGCCUUCACCAUAGCAGGCGUGCCUGCCCUCGCCACAGUGCACCACCACUUCCUGUCAGAGGCCGAGUCUCUUAAGUUCUGGACACCUCUGACCAUCUGUUACACCCUGUUGGUGGUCCAUGUCCAAGGGAGGAAAACCCUGCUGCACACGGUGGCCCUGCGCUUGGGAGGCCUGCUGGUGCUCAUGCUUACGGUGGGCUGGUGGAGUGAUGCGCUCCACAUCCUCGUCGCCUGCCUGGGGGAAGCUGCCUGCUUGCUUCUAUCUCAGGAUCUCCUCCAGACACUUUCCCAGGUCACCGCCUCUGCCUGUGCACGUCUCUCCUUGUUUGUCCUUUUGACGCUCUCUUUCACUCUGUCUUUCAGCCCCCCUCGCUGUGUAUUCUGUUUCAUGACAUUCACUGGUGUUAUACUUUCCUUCAGGGGGAAGAAGACGUUCCCAGCAGAUAUGUUCGUCACUCCAGCAGCGCACGGCCGAACGUGUCAUCCCAAGGUGACACCCAGAGAGACUAACUUGCGGAAUUCCUCAACACAGACCAGUCACUGUUUCAUGUUAGCUCUUAUAGUCACAAACAACUCAUGCAUGUAGCUACAGGAAUCUGCCUAGCCUGUCUGUCCCAGUGUAAUGCCCCGAUCCAGCUCACAACCACGAUCACGGCACCAAUCCCUUGAACACAACUCACCAGGAAUCCUGGUCACCUGUUCACUCACCUGUUUCCCACUGGUUUCUCACUAUUUAGUUCUGUUCAGUGCAGCUUUUGCUUUGUGAGGUGUUGUUAGAUUUCCUGCGUUACUAACCCAACAUUUUUACAAUGUAUUCUGGAACCCUUUUGUUACGACCUAGUUUCCUCCUGACAUUGCCUGUUGCACCUCAGCCUUCUCUCCUUGGAUUAUCCCGGUUUUUGACUCCUGCCCGUUUUUGCCCCUGACUACUCUACCUGGAUCUGUACCGUUGCCUUUAAAAUAAACCUUGUGCUCUGAGCUUGAAUCCACAGUCAGUAUUCCCCAGGAUCAUUACACUGAGUAAUACUGAAUAAUUAACCAGUCUAUAACCAUGGUGUUACAUGGGUGUGGUCACUACAGCAGCAAACACACAGUCUGUUCUCUGGCCAAGUGACUGAGGUGCAGUGUUUUGGUGUGACACUGACGUUGCAGUGUUCAUGUCCACUAAAGCCAGGAACACCGUUCUGUCCUGACCGUGCUUCUGUUAGUGACUACACCUCCAGAGGGAAGGUAGCGUCAUAAGAAGUGGAGUGGAGGAUUACAUGGAAGAUCAGAAGGAGAGGUAGAAAACCGAGAGAAGCAAAGGGUCAAAGGGAAGAGGGGGAGGUGUGUGGUAACUGUUGUCUACACUGGGUGUACCUUGAACCUUAAAAACAACGAGUAAACAACCGCCUAGUUGGGCAACCCUAGUACACUCUUGUCGUUUAGCUGACGGUCUUGUUCAGGGCGAUUUGCAGUCUGACAGGAAGUACAGACAGGAAGCAUGUUUAUCAACGAACUGAAAUGGAGAAAUGAAACAUUAGGUUUAUGAUACCAGAGCUGUGGUUCGAGUUUUAAAUAUGUGGACGUGUAACCGAAUUACACAUAAGAGCAGGGUUUUGGAUUUGGCAAAGGCCACAGUAGUGGUCAUCUGAAUCAUUCCUGCUUAUACCUUUUCUGUUCUCUUACAAACAUGCACUUUUUGUGCAAUUUUCAUCACCAUCCACUUUGUUGUUUGAGUUUUGUGUUUCCCUGGGAAUUCCUCUAUUCUUACUGAAUAAACCAAAAGGCCAUUUUAUGUUAUAUGUAACAUUUUGUGUGCUGUUUUUCCUCCAUGGCCAUCACUGCUUACAAGUAUUAGUGUUGUGUUGUCAGUUUUCUCUUCUUCUGCAUCUGGGUUUCUGGGAUCUUGAUGAAGGGGGCUAUGGGGGAUGGGCUUAGAUUUUAGGGGCUGAUGUCAUCACUGGGCAUGCUCCCUUCCGAAGCUGUGACAUCACUGCGCAGCAUUCCAUUCUUCAGACACUGGAACAACACAGACCCCCGUGACCCAGCUCCCCUUCAAGCAGCUACCCUCCUUUCUCUCUCUCCAUCCCUCUGGUCUCCACUUCUCUUCUCUGUCUGUCUCCUUUUCUCUCACUCUCUGCUCUCUAUCGUGUUCUCUUUCUUCUCGUUCUUUCGCUCUUCCUCUUCAGCCCCUCAGCCCGUAAUAUUCAUGCAGGGCCAUCCACUCUCCCUCCAUUCUCUUGUUCCCCCCGUCACGUCUCUGCCGCUCUCAGACUGUUUGUUUAAACACCCCUGCACUGAUUCAGUUGUUACCUCUGUCUUCUCUCCCCUCCAUGUUUGAUCCCUCCUCUAUCUUUCAACAUUCAGUUGUUUUUUUCUGCCCUGUCCUUUCUGCCAGACGUAUUCUCUGGAACAAGGUUACGCUCGACUCAACGGCCAAAUAUUUGCUGAUUGGGCUGAUAAAGACAGGCUCAGGAGGAGGGUUAAUACCAUAACAGAGCUGAUCUCUCCGAACUC